Molecule: ribosomal RNA, 294 nt
Filed under: uncultured bacterium
Lineage: Bacteria
Description: partial 16S ribosomal RNA
Rfam family: Bacterial small subunit ribosomal RNA
Source: RNAcentral
GGAUUAGAUACCCUGGUAGUCCACGCCCUAAACGAUGUGUGCUAGACGUCGGGAGGCUUGCCUCUCGGUGUCGGAGCUAACGUGUUAAGCACACCGCCUGGGGAGUACGGUCGCAAGAUUAAAACUCAAAGGAAUUGACGGGGGCCCGCACAAGCGGUGGAGCAUGUGGUUUAAUUCGACGCAACGCGCAGAACCUUACCAGCCCUUGACAUGAUAGUUUCGAUUUCCAGAGAUGGAUCUCUCGGUUCGGCCGGACUAUUACAGGUGCUGCAUGGCUGUCGUCAGCUCGUGCCG